UGGGGGAUAUUGCACAAUGGAGGAAACUCUGAUGCAGCGACGCCGCGUGAGGGAAGACGGUUUUCGGAUUGUAAACCUCUGUCUUCAGGGACGAAAUAAUGACGGUACCUGAGGAGGAAGCUCCGGCUAACUACGUGCCAGCAGCCGCGGUAAUACGUAGGGAGCAAGCGUUGUCCGGAAUUACUGGGUGUAAAGGGAGCGUAGGCGGGAAUGCAAGUUGAAUGUCAAAUCUACCGGCUUAACUGGUAGCCGCGUUCAAAACUGCGUUUCUUGAGUGAAGUAGAGGCAGGCGGAAUUCCUAGUGUAGCGGUGAAAUGCGUAGAUAUUAGGAGGAACACCAGUGGCGAAGGCGGCCUGCUGGGCUUUUACUGACGCUGAGGCUCGAAAGUGUGGGUAGCAAACAGGAUUAGAUACCCUGGUAGU
Molecule: ribosomal RNA, 423 nt
Filed under: uncultured Hydrogenoanaerobacterium sp.
Lineage: Bacteria; Bacillati; Bacillota; Clostridia; Eubacteriales; Oscillospiraceae
Description: bacterial SSU rRNA
Rfam family: Bacterial small subunit ribosomal RNA
Source: RNAcentral